Molecule: ribosomal RNA, 253 nt
Filed under: uncultured bacterium
Lineage: Bacteria
Description: partial 16S ribosomal RNA
Rfam family: Bacterial small subunit ribosomal RNA
Source: RNAcentral
UACGUAGGUGGCAAGCGUUGUCCGGAAUUAUUGGGCGUAAAGCGCGCGCAGGCGGUCCUUUAAGUCUGAUGUGAAAGCCCACGGCUCAACCGUGGAGGGUCAUUGGAAACUGGGGGGACUUGAGUACAGAAGAGGAAAGCGGAAUUCCACGUGUAGCGGUGAAAUGCGUAGAGAUGUGGAGGAACACCAGUGGCGAAGGCGGCUUUCUGGUCUGUAACUGACGCUGAGGCGCGAAAGCGUGGGGAGCAACAGG